This is a long non-coding RNA of Ornithodoros turicata, 566 nucleotides long. RefSeq lists it as uncharacterized. The record is from RefSeq and is a predicted model, not a curated record. NCBI's taxonomy places the organism in Eukaryota, Metazoa, Arthropoda, Arachnida, Ixodida, Argasidae. The transcript is spliced from 3 exons.
UAGCCGGCGUCUCGGCAGUUUUCACGGCAGUCCUCACGGGUACGCAGCAUCACUUCCUGGGACCCUAUGAGCUCACGCUCCCGUGCCGGUUGCGGCACCCCAGGCCACGACUCUGAUGCCCAACUAUUCGCCCUUCAUCUGCCUCGCUCAUCGAGAGCUUCACGCAAUGGGUAUUCUGCUGUCCCGCGAAUUCGUCCAGUAGUGCACGUCCUCCUCGGCCGCUCUCGCUCUCUCCCUCCGGUGUAGACCACUGAUCUCGAUUGUAAAAGGCUGGAUCGCGGAUAGGGAGCGCGAGCGUGAAGAAACCGGCCGCCAUCUUACUGUACCCACAACAGUCGCCGCAGCGAUCAUGGCAACUUCUUGCAAUUACGGUCGUACCAACCGUACUGGCAAGGUUACAGGGCCUAAAUUCAUACAGGUUUCGUCAUGAGGGCUACCCAGUGAAUAAUCUGUGCAGUGUGAUACGGCUGGGUGUACAGGUUACUUCACAGCUGCCUCGACAUACUCAAGAAAUGGGUGCAGAACCUGCGUAAUGCCCACAAACUUUGACUACCACAGCACCUCCG